GCUGGGCACGGUGGUGCAUGCCUAUAAUCAUAGCAACUUGAGAGGCUGAGAUAGGAGGAUUGCAAGUUCAAGGCAGCCUCAGUAACUUAGUAAGACCCUGUCUCAA
This 106-nucleotide small RNA is filed under the name Marmota monax (woodchuck). The record is from RNAcentral. Lineage: Eukaryota; Metazoa; Chordata; Mammalia; Rodentia; Sciuridae.